This 312-nucleotide long non-coding RNA is filed under the name Suricata suricatta (meerkat). RNAcentral's name for it is "lncRNA (ENSSSUG00005007635.1)". Lineage: Eukaryota; Metazoa; Chordata; Mammalia; Carnivora; Herpestidae. The record is from RNAcentral.
GUUGUUUUGGAAUCCAACUUCACCCAAAUUCUCUGUUCCAGUAUCUGUUAUGAAGGAAAUUCUAUUUCCAGAAUAUGAGAGUUUUCAAGCCAGCAAAAUUUUAAUUGAAAAAUGUUCAUCAGGAAGCAAGGAAAGUGUCAUUUUACAUCAGCAUACCAGAAGUCCUAGGUUUCUUUUCCUAAGGAAAUCUGCAUCAUUUCAAAAUAUCCAAAAAUGUUUCAGCACACCAUCUCUACAAUUAAAGGUAUGAUAAUUUUUAGUUUUUAUUCAAAAAAUGUGUAUAUUUCAAGUAAUAAUCACUAUUGGUGCUUU